UUGGCGUUAGGGUUAAAAUCCCUGUCCAAAACCUUUGUAGGAACACUUUUCCAACCUUUUGGAAUUAGAUAAACCAAAAAAAUAUGAAAAAUGAAAAAAUAUAUAUUUGGGGUUUUCGGGCUUCCUGAAUGUAAUACCUGGGUAUUAGAUUUUAAGGCGAGGGUAAGGUUUAAGUUUUUUGGCGUUAGGGUUAAAAUCACUGUCCAAAACCUUUGUAGGAACUCUUUUCCAACCUUUUGGAGUUAGUUAGACCAAAAAAAAAUGAAAAAUUAAAAAAAUAUAUAUUUGGGAUGUUCAGGCUUCCUAAAAGUAAUACCCGGGUAUUAGGUCAUGGGGCUAUGGUAAGGUUUAAGGUUUUUGGCGUUAGGGUUAAAAUCACUGUCCAAAACCUUUGUAGGAACUGUUUUUCAACCUUUUGGAGUUAGUUAGACCAAAAAAAAUGAAAAAUGAAAAAAAAAAUAUUUGGGGUUUACGGGCUUCCUGAAUGUAAUACCCGGGUAUUAGAUUUUAAGGCCAGGGAAAGGUUUAAGUUUUUUGGCGUUAGGGUUAAAAUCACUGUUUACGGGCUUCCUGAAUGUAAUACCCGAGUAUUAGGUUUUGGGGCUAUGGUAAGGUUUAAGUUUUUUGGCGUUAGGGUUAAAAUCACUGUCCAAAACCUU
Molecule: non-coding RNA, 659 nt
Organism: Xyrichtys novacula (pearly razorfish)
Lineage: Eukaryota; Metazoa; Chordata; Actinopteri; Labriformes; Labridae
Source: the annotation of a GenBank genome assembly